Molecule: long non-coding RNA, 1820 nt
Filed under: Bos indicus x Bos taurus (hybrid cattle)
Lineage: Eukaryota; Metazoa; Chordata; Mammalia; Artiodactyla; Bovidae
Description: lncRNA (ENSBIXG00000003914.1)
Rfam family: tRNA (bases 388-464)
Source: RNAcentral
UCCCAGCCUUCCCACUGGCUAGUGAGCUGUUGGAGGAAAAGGUGCUUGAGUUUUUCAUCUUGUGCCUCUUUCCCACAUAGCACUGUACCUUGCACGUUCUAAGCCUCCUCAAAAGAGUGUGUGGAUCCAAAUGGCAGCUUUUCAGGAACUGUUUUUAAUUUUCUUUGAGAAGAACAGACAAAGUGAAGGCUCAGAAAUGAGAAAGGUAAGUGUUCUGAGGUAAGAGGUAAGGGUUCUGUAUUGCAGGGCAAGCCUUAACUCUUCCCUCUCAAAGCAACAUCUAUCUGUCUACCCAGAGAUUCAUCUCCAUGUCUCUAGUGGAUCACAUUCAUGCACACCUCUAAGGACAAGGAUUCAGUUUAGGUGAAAGAUAAAUCUUGAGGGACUUCCCUGGUGGUCCAGUGGCUAAGACUCUAAGCCAGCUCUGAAUGCAGGGGGCCCAGGUUCAAUCCCUGGUCAGGGAAUUAGAUCCCACAUGCCACAACCAAGAGUUCAUCAUACGCCACAACUAAAGACCUCAUGUGCUGCAACUAAGACCUGGUGUGGUCAAACAGAUAUUUACUUAGACAGAUUUUUUUUUUUUUUUAAAGAAAGAAAUCAGUAUUGUCAUUUGCUGCUGCUGGUGGUAUCUGCUCAGUCAUGUCUGCCCUGUGGUCUGUCCAUGGAAUUCUCCAGGCCCUCCUCUGCUGCUGCUAAGUUGCUUCAGUCGUGUCUGACUCUGUGCGACCCUAUAGAUGGCAGCCCACCAGGCUCCACCGUCCCUGGGAUUCUCCAGGCAAGAACAAUGGAGUGGGUUGCCAUUUUCUGCUCCAAUGCAUGAAAGUGAAAAGUGGAAGUGAAGUUGCUUCAGUCGUGUCCGACUCUGUGCAACCCCAUGGACUGCAGUCCACCAGGCUCCUCCAUCCAUGGGAUUUUCCAGGCAAGAGUACUGGAGUGGGGUGCCAUCGCCUUCUCCAAGGCCCUCCUCUAGGGCUGUUGAAAAGACUGAGUGAACCAGAUUUUCAGCCAAAUAGAGGACAAGUAGGAACAGCCAAUUACUGAAUUAGAUGGAGAUAUUGGGGUGUCAACGAAUAUCUUGUCUUUGCUAUAAAUUAUCCAUCUGAUUACAGCUUGUGCCUUCAAGACUAGUUUACACUUCAAGAAUUUAAUUUCAGGCCCUAAAUGACUAUGCGUGGCUGAAAAUUCCCUUGUGCAGUGGCAGGGAAGGCUGCCAGUUACUAGCAGUGUCUUCUGUUUUGGGGUACCUGAACUGGCUUCGUGUGUGUGUGUAUGUUAAGUCAUUUCGGUCAUGUCUGACUCUUUGUGGCCCUAUGGACUGUAGCCUGCCAACCACAACAAAAUGACUUUCUAAAGCAUUUGGGUCAACCAAGCAUUUGCUGCAAUGAAAGACAUCCUGGGGCUUCACAAAUGUUAAGUUUGGAAUCACCUCUAUAACAUUUCCAAAAACCUACUCAUAUCCUUUCACUCCCAUGGCUAUGAUCUUUUAGAUUGCUGGAACAGCAUAAUCUUGUAUCUGAAUUAUAGCAAUGAUGGUGAGAUGUGGAGUUUCUCAAGCUUCCAGUCACCCCCUCUUCUCAUCAUCUCUGGUGGAUUCCCUCCUGCCUCAGGACUUCGGUUAUAGGAAGGAACAACAUCUCCAUCUGCAGCCCAGGUCUCUCGUGGAAUCUGAUUUUGCAACUGCCAACUGACCAGGAUCACUUGCAUAUUCCACUCACAUCUCAAACUUAAAAUGCCAAAAAUGGGACUAUUAUCUUCCUAUUCCCUUCACCUAAACCGACUGCUCAAAGGUGAGAGAUUUGGGCCACUGCCUUUCUCGUUCA